GAAAGCUUUCAGUAGCCAGCAGACAAUAUGCACUGGAUUUAAGUAGUUAAAGGGAGAGUGACAAAGGGAAUAAAGAUGGUUUGUGAGGAAAAACAGCAGUAUUCUGAGCCACAUGCCAAAAUAACCUGAGCAGGCCAUGAUAGGAAGUAACUGCCUACACCACCUCCAUGCUCAAGAGUACUAAGGGCAAAAAUUUCUGUGAUGAGAUGUAACCUCUGAGGAGAGCAGCACUGGCAGCAGAAGAGUCCAAAGUCUUCGCUUUAUCCACAGAAGCACUGCUUCCUUCUCCCCUCCAUUUUUGGGGUACCAGGGAUGACAAGCUGAGUAGCAGUGCUGUGGUUCUCCGAGCUCACCGCCUGCCACGUGCCGUGGCAUUCGUGACAGCAUCAUUGCCCUGUGGAAAGGAGAGAGGAGAGAAGGUACUGAGU
This 428-nucleotide long non-coding RNA is filed under the name Cyanistes caeruleus (blue tit). Its description in RNAcentral is "lncRNA (ENSCCEG00000007891.1)". Lineage: Eukaryota; Metazoa; Chordata; Aves; Passeriformes; Paridae. The record is from RNAcentral.